This is a long non-coding RNA of Dipodomys spectabilis (banner-tailed kangaroo rat), 1203 nucleotides long. RefSeq lists it as uncharacterized. The record is from RefSeq and is a predicted model, not a curated record. The transcript is spliced from 4 exons. Lineage: Eukaryota; Metazoa; Chordata; Mammalia; Rodentia; Heteromyidae.
UCACACUUCUUGUCUGCUUGAGCUGCUUUUCGUGCAAUUUCCCUCUGCGGUUCCCCGCCCUCGGUUUUUCACGUCACGUCUUGUUUCACUACCGUCAGUUUAGACGUGCCUUGCUUCUCCAGCACCCGUGUUUGCCCUUUAACAGUCUUCCCACUACUGUUUCUCCUAGAGCCAUCAAGUCCCUCCUUCCCGCUUCGCCGUCCUCAUCUGAUGAGACCAGACCCAGCGUUUGAGUUUGUUGUGAGGAGUGAAAGACCGCGUUCAGUGCAGAGAGGAGGGUAGUCGUGGCCCUUUACCUUUGGCUGGGUAACAUGCCCACCUCAGCCUGAGGUGCAGACGUGCUGGAGACAUGGCUGGAGAACCGCCUUCUUCCGAUGGCUCUCAGGAGAAAUCCCUAAGGGGAUGAGAACUGGAAAUAGUUAGAAGGGUAGAACUCUUCUCCAAGUCCUCAAGCUCAUGGCCAAGUUGUUUUGCCUGCAUGGAUUGUACCAGUAACCUACUUUCCUCCUCCUCCUCGUCAGUCCGACUCAGGGUAUCCUGCGAAGCCUGCUGAGAUGGUUCACUGUCCUGCUCCCAGACAGUGCCUGUGCCAGUGUUGGAGCGGGACAUGGUGGCAAGGCUCAGGCGUGCUCACUGGCCACAGCCCAUCCCAGCGGCAUUCCUGCCCCAACCCUGCCAUAGUGGAGAGCACGGUGUUCGUGGGGCUGUGACUGCGGAGGGAGGGGCACACACCACACCUUGCAUUGGAUGAAAGGACGCAAGAGCACGAAGAUGGGUAUCCGGGUGCGCACGAUGAAGUCGAGGAAGUCCCACAGGGCCAGGCCGCCCACCUUCCGCAGAGCCAUCUCCUUCACCUGCAGGCUCAACCAGUACCACUGGCUUCCCAGCUGCCUCUCAAAGCAGACGAGAAUCACCUUCAAUGCUUCACACCCGGAGGAGAGAAAAGACAGCCUGAGGACUUGUGCCUGCCAUAGCCACUGUCCAUAGCUACAACACCAAGGAAUCUUUGCAACUUCUAAACUCCAUGUUUCCAAAAUCUUAGCACGUACUCUUGAGCAAGGCAUCAAGGCAAAAUGUUGGUAUAAUUGGUAUAAUAAAUGUUUUGCCCGCAAUUGUCUCUCACAAGUGCAUUGAACACUUGGAAAACAAAGCAGAGCCGUCCAUCAGAUUGAAAGAAAAAUAAAAACAUGAUGUGUGACUGAA